Molecule: long non-coding RNA, 1076 nt
Organism: Musa acuminata AAA Group (dessert banana)
Lineage: Eukaryota; Viridiplantae; Streptophyta; Magnoliopsida; Zingiberales; Musaceae
Exons: 2
Source: RefSeq, a predicted model, not a curated record
UUGUGGAAGAUUGAGAGGUCCGGUUCCAGAGGAUCCGCAUCAGUUUGGAUCCUCUCCAUUUAUUUUAAGGAUGCAGGUAUCCUCGACCCACUCACUGUCCAAGCAGUGGUGGGGUCAGUGUGAUGAAGUGGGGUCCACAUCAAUUAACAGCUACUUCUGUCGGAAUAGUAUGGUUUCGAUUAGAUGUCCAACUGGAUCGGAUCCUCACCUAGCGGUUACGACGCCCGUUACCUUUACCUAUAUAUUCCUUCUUUUGCCAUCGCGCCCUCGCUCCUCGAUCAGACAGGUUCCACUAGGGUUCGAAGAGGCAGAGUGAGUCGAUUGGUGGAGUUCUUGCUGCGGCGAUGAGCGGCGCGGCCGCUUCGGUAUGGGAGGGUGUGGACGGGCGAUGGACGUCGAGGCGAUUCUUGGGAAGGUCACCGACCGACGAGGGUUCGGAGACGCCUUCGCCGCCGAGGUUUGCUCGGAAACGAGCACUGCUUGUUCCAGGAGUUUGUGGAUAUAUGCCAAGAUUCGAUACAGUUGCAGGGAUAUAGUUGAUACUUAUCUAUAAAUUGAAGGUAUGAUACACUGGUAAUGCUUUCAUCAUUUUGUGUAUUAGUGAUAAUUUAGAAUUAUCUAUAAAUUUAGAAUCAUUUUGUGUAUUAGUGAUACUUAUCUAAUACACUUGAGUAUUAGUGAUAAUUUAGAAUCAUCUACCAGUAAUGCUCUCAUCAUUUUGUGGAAAUUGAUUACAGCUCUUUCUCUUUCUUGUUAUCUGAAUAGUAGCAAAGAGCAGUCAGCACGUGCUUACUCUGCCCUGCAUGUAUGUAUGUUAUGUCUGAAAGUGUACUAAACACAACUCAACGCCCAUUUAUAUGUUGAUUUAUCUAAUUCAUAGUUCUUUAGGCUACCAACUUGAGGUUUUUUUUGUUUUUGUCUUUCUGCUCCCUAUUCUACGUGAUGGGGCCAAUGCUGUUGUUGAUUAAUAUGAACAGAUUUUAUACGAUGCUAAAUCAGCGCAAACAGGAAGUUAUGUUUCUAUGAAAUACUAUGUUUGAAGAUAAAUCAGAUGAGAUGACAUUCGAAAUUCCUGA